Molecule: non-coding RNA, 104 nt
Organism: Russula ochroleuca
Lineage: Eukaryota; Fungi; Basidiomycota; Agaricomycetes; Russulales; Russulaceae
Source: the annotation of a GenBank genome assembly
GCCCGCCUAGCUCAAUCGGAUAGAGCGUCAGACUCUUAUGGCGGGUGCAUGGUCGCACCACGACCCAAAUCUGAAGGCUGCGAGUUCGACCCUCGCGGUGGGCU